CAGGGAUUGCCUUAGUAACGGCGAGUGAAGCGGCAAUAGCUCAAAUUUGAAAUCUGGCGCUUGCGUCCGAGUUGUAAUUUGUAGAGGAUGAUUUUGGUUAGGUACCUUUCGAGUUCCUUGGAACAGGACGCCUUAGAGGGUGAGAGCCCCGUACGAUUGGAUGCCGAGCCUUUGUAAAUCUCCUUCGACGAGUCGAGUAGUUUGGGAAUGCUGCUCUAAAUGGGAGGUAAAUUUCUUCUAAAGCUAAAUACCGGCCAGAGACCGAUAGCGCACAAGUAGAGUGAUCGAAAGAUGAAAAGCACUUUGAAAAGAGGGUUAAAUAGCACGUGAAAUUGUUGAAAGGGAAGGAUUUAUGACCAGACUUUUUCUGGGAGAAUCAUCCGGUGUUCUCACCGGUGCACUUCUUUUAGUUUAGGCCAGCAUCGACUUUCGGCGGCGGAUAAAAGCUUCAGGAAUGUGGCUCCCCUAGGGGAGUGUUAUAGCCUGUUGUAUAAUACGCUGCUGGGGGUCGAGGUACGCGCUUCUGCAAGGAUGCUGGCGUAAUGGUUAUCAAUCACCCGUCUUGAAACACGGACCAAGGAGUCGAACAUUUGUGCAAGUGUUUGGGUGUUAAACCCUCACGCGUAAUGAAAGUGAACGGAGGUGAGAGCCCUUACGGGUGCAUCAUCGACCGAUCCUGAUGUUUUCGGAUGGAUUUGAGUAAGAGCAUAACUGUUCGGACCCGAAAGAUGGUGAACUAUGCGUGGAUAGGGUGAAGCCAGAGGAAACUCUGGUGGAGGCUCGCAGCGGUUCUGACGUGCAAAUCGAUCGUCAAAUCUGCGCAUGGGG
This 828-nucleotide ribosomal RNA is filed under the name Hymenopleella hippophaeicola. Its description in RNAcentral is "partial 28S ribosomal RNA". It matches the Rfam family "Eukaryotic large subunit ribosomal RNA", at positions 69 to 922 of the family's 3401-position model. Lineage: Eukaryota; Fungi; Ascomycota; Sordariomycetes; Amphisphaeriales; Sporocadaceae. The record is from RNAcentral.